Homo sapiens (human) is the source of this 1652-nucleotide long non-coding RNA. Ensembl annotates it as long intergenic non-protein coding RNA 2021. The record is from Ensembl. Lineage: Eukaryota; Metazoa; Chordata; Mammalia; Primates; Hominidae.
GGUCUUUUUAGCAGGGGCCUUACGGGUGCGCGCUUCGGUCCUGGAGGCCUUAUCCUAGCCUCCUCUCUCCAUCAGCGCCACCCGUCUGGGGCCCAAAAGGAGGGAGCUUUACCUCUGUCCCCCAGCCUUUGGAGUGUCACCAAACAAGCCAUUCGUUCACCAAAUACUUAUUAAGUGCCUGACAACGGAGAUGUAACGGCUUCCAAGGCGAUCGAUCGGGCAGUGUCGGUCUGCAGCUGCUAAGCCAAGAAGAUCUGGAAAGGAGUCAGUCAGAGAGCCUUGGGCUCUGGGAGUGGUGCCAGUUCUACAAGGCCUGGAGCAGAUACGAAAAACCUCCCUUCUUUGCCAAAUGGUCCCCAGCUUCCCCAUUCACUGAAGGCCCUGCGGUCAGGAACAGUCAGGACUUUGCACCCAGUUGUUGUGAGUGUUGGCCGACCCUUCCUCUUGUGUGAUUCAUGGACCCUUAGCAUUGCAUCACCUGGGAGCUUUUGGAAUUGAAGACUCUCAGCGCUCACCGGAAGGACCUCCUGGGCCAGAAUCUGCAUUUUAACAAGAUGCCCAGGGCUUCUCAACCAGGGGGUGAUUUUGCCCCCAAGAGAACAUGUGGCCAUGUCUGGAGACAAUUUUGGUUGUUGCAGCUGGAGGAGGUGGUGCUACUGGCAGCUAAUAGGUAGAGGCCACGGAUGCUGCUAAACAUCCUACAAUGCUCCGGACAACUCCCACUAAGACAAAAGAAUGAUCCAGCCCCAAAUGUCAAUAGUGCUGAAAGUGAGAGACCCUGAUUCCAUCUUAGAGAUCAUCCAAGCACACUUGGCCAAAUAGUUUUUGCUACUAUCCCAUGAAGAAAAGGCAGACUCAUGACUGAUGGCAACGUCGAUGGGAAUUUUGUUUACUUCUUCUUUGUGGACUUUGGGAUACGAUGACUUACCAUUUGUGCAAGUUGUGCAUUGCAUACCUCCAGGGGGCGCCACCCACAUAUUUAUGAAAAUGCCACCCCAGGAAUUGCACAGUACAUAGUCUACAUGGCAAUAAACAGUUGCUCUGGUUUUGGGGUUGUCCUGGGUUGCUCUGGAACUGGGAGGAACUUUAUUUCUGGCCAUUAGAGGCCCUGAGCAUGACAUUGAGUAUCCUUUCAAGAAAGGAGAAAUGUUGAACAGAGAGGACCUCAUUUUUAUAACUCUUGACCAUCAUCUAGUUACGCAGCAUCCACUUUUCACCCCUGGGCCAUAUCCAUUUGACGGAUGAAAAAUCAUCAAAUUAUAAUAUCAUGGCUUUUACUUUUGAUAGCUUCUGCCCGGAACAUGGCGGUAACAGCUUCUCAUUUUCAAUUGAUUCAUUGGGGGAGAAAAUAUACACGACUGCCCUAAGACUUUCUAUUACAUACCAUUUGUUUGACGGGAUUUCUUUAGUUUCUGUAGCAUAACUUAUUCUAACUGGUCCUCAAUCACUUUGCAAUAAAACCUGAGAUUGUGAAGAUGUUCACUGUCAUUACCAGUGACGGAGCAGUAAGUACAGAGUUCUGGAGAGGGAAGGAAUCGAGAGAGUUAAACUAGCAGAAUGAGCCGCUCACCCUCAGCAUUGCUUUUAAUCUUGCUCCUCCCACUGAAGAAUUGGAGUAUAUUUCUCCAGCCCCUAAUGUUGGGUUUAGUCAU